UACGAAGGGUGCAAGCGUUAUUCGGAAUUACUGGGCGUAAAGCGUGCGUAGGUGGUCUUUUAAGUCCGUUGUGAAAGCCCUGGGCUCAACCUGGGAAUGGCAGUGGAUACUGGAAGGCUGGAGUACGGUAGAGGAGGGUGGAAUUCCCGGUGUAGCGGUGAAAUGCGUAGAGAUCGGGAGGAACACCCGUGGCGAAGGCGGCCAUCUGGACCAGCACUGACGCUGAGGCACGAAAGCGUGGGGAGCAAACAGG
This 253-nucleotide ribosomal RNA is filed under the name uncultured bacterium. Its description in RNAcentral is "partial 16S ribosomal RNA". It matches the Rfam family "Bacterial small subunit ribosomal RNA", at positions 524 to 776 of the family's 1533-position model. The record is from RNAcentral.